GAUCAAUUGAUGAGAAAAAUAAAACUGCAACAAUAUGAUUGGAUUUAAUCCGUGAUUACUUGUAUUUAAGUCUCUGAUGAUC
This is a non-coding RNA of Gossypium arboreum, 82 nucleotides long. The record is from Rfam. NCBI's taxonomy places the organism in Eukaryota, Viridiplantae, Streptophyta, Magnoliopsida, Malvales, Malvaceae.